AUGCACGCUGGCGGCGUGCCUAAUACAUGCAAGUCGAGCGAACGGACGAGAAGCUUGCUUCUCUGAUGUUAGCGGCGGACGGGUGAGUAACACGUGGAUAACCUACCUAUAAGACUGGGAUAACUUCGGGAAACCGGAGCUAAUACCGGAUAAUAUUUUGAACCGCAUGGUUCAAAAGUGAAAGACGGUCUUGCUGUCACUUAUAGAUGGAUCCGUGCUGCAUUAGCUAGUUGGUAAGGUAACGGCUUACCAAGGCAACGAUGCAUAGCCGACCUGAGAGGGUGAUCGGCCACACUGGAACUGAGACACGGUCCAGACUCCUACGGGAGGCAGCAGUAGGGAAUCUUCCGCAAUGGGCGAAAGCCUGACGGAGCAACGCCGCGUGAGUGAUGAAGGUCUUCGGAUCGUAAAACUCUGUUAUUAGGGAAGAACAUAUGUGUAAGUAACUGUGCACAUCUUGACGGUACCUAAUCAGAAAGCCACGGCUAACUACGUG
This 496-nucleotide ribosomal RNA is filed under the name uncultured bacterium. RNAcentral's name for it is "partial 16S ribosomal RNA". It matches the Rfam family "Bacterial small subunit ribosomal RNA", at positions 29 to 507 of the family's 1533-position model. The record is from RNAcentral.